RNAcentral lists this ribosomal RNA (497 nucleotides) under uncultured bacterium. Its description in RNAcentral is "partial 16S ribosomal RNA". It matches the Rfam family "Bacterial small subunit ribosomal RNA", at positions 28 to 507 of the family's 1533-position model. The record is from RNAcentral.
GAUGAACGCUGGCGGCGUGCCUAAUACAUGCAAGUCGAGCGAACAGACGAGGAGCUUGCUCCUCUGACGUUAGCGGCGGACGGGUGAGUAACACGUGGAUAACCUACCUAUAAGACUGGGAUAAUUUCGGGAAACCGGAGCUAAUACCGGAUAACAUGUUGAACCGCAUGGUUCAACAGUGAAAGACGGUCUUGCUGUCACUUCUAGAUGGAUCCGCGCCGCAUUAGCUAGUUGGUAAGGUAACGGCUUACCAAGGCAACGAUGCGUAGCCGACCUGAGAGGGUGAUCGGCCACACUGGAACUGAGACACGGUCCAGACUCCUACGGGAGGCAGCAGUAGGGAAUCUUCCGCAAUGGGCGAAAGCCUGACGGAGCAACGCCGCGUGAGUGAAGAAGGUCUUCGGAUCGUAAAACUCUGUUAUUAGGGAAGAACAAAUGUGUAAGUAACUAUGCACGUCUUGACGGUACCUAAUCAGAAAGCCACGGCUAACUACGUG